CACACACGGCUAUGUCAACUAUCUUGAUCGAACUGCCGCAAAAUCCCAGGGGCUAGCGUUCACUGCAAACAACGCUAUAUAUAUGGGUGUUGAUUUUAAAAACGUGGCUUCUGGAAGAGGGCGAUCCAGCGUUCGACUUACCAGCAACAAGGCCUAUGACAGCGGCCUCAUAAUCGCUGAUAUCGAGCACAUGCCUGGAGGAAUUUGCGGGACGUGGCCUGCGUUUUGGAUGUUUGGGCCAAACUGGCCUAACAACGGCGAAAUCGACAUUAUAGAGGG
RNAcentral lists this small RNA (279 nucleotides) under Histoplasma ohiense. RNAcentral describes it as "hypothetical lncRNA". Lineage: Eukaryota; Fungi; Ascomycota; Eurotiomycetes; Onygenales; Ajellomycetaceae. The record is from RNAcentral.